This is a long non-coding RNA of Hermetia illucens (black soldier fly), 565 nucleotides long. RefSeq lists it as uncharacterized. Lineage: Eukaryota; Metazoa; Arthropoda; Insecta; Diptera; Stratiomyidae. The transcript is spliced from 3 exons. The record is from RefSeq and is a predicted model, not a curated record.
GCGGGAGUCAGUCGACAGAGUUCGUGGACGGAGACCGAAGAGCCAGCGGGAGCAAGUGAGCUAGUGAAAGAAGUGCAAGCUGUAGUCAGCGCUUUGGUCUGGAGUACGAAUGCCUGCACAGCAUCACAUUCCCUCAGGCGAUUCACUUUUUGAUCCUGCUCUCAGGAACAGUCCUCUAAGGGUGUAGCUUUGUAAUUACCGAAUCGACAGCUCUGCCUUUCGAGAAUCGCUUUCCGCAUCGCUUUUCGUAACACUGUGGACAUUUUCGAAAUUUAAUCAAACCUAAACUGGCCUAAUCCCAGCGAUUCGAAGGCGAUAGAAAGAAAAGCACAAGUCGAACCACCAAUUCCCAGUUCGCAAAGCCAAAAUGAUAAAGACAUAGCCAUAGCGUCAAAGGAUAACAAGGGCCAAUUUAUGACGGGAACUUAAAGCAUGCUUGAAGAACUGAUCCAAAAUCAGAUGAUACAAAUGCUAUUAUCUCACAAUUAAACGUGAUCACAAUCAACAGUGGGAAUGCAAAUGGUUUUAACCUACAUUAAUACUAGCUUACCAGCAAUAUGGUUGA